Molecule: long non-coding RNA, 2376 nt
Organism: Patella vulgata (common limpet)
Lineage: Eukaryota; Metazoa; Mollusca; Gastropoda; Patellidae
Exons: 3
Source: RefSeq, a predicted model, not a curated record
UAAAGCAGACGGCUUUAUCGUUUAGCAGGCGUGUGGUUCGGGGUGUAAUCCGGCCUGGCUAGAGACUCACUCGAUCAAUAAAUUCUACAUUCACGAAUAGAGAACUGACCGCAUCUGCGUCCAGUCAAAGAUAAAAGGACGGACAACGACAGAUAAGAGUCAACAUAAUAUUUUAAACCACACUUUUGCUGGCCUAUUUUAAUAUGUACGAACUGAUCCAUUAAAAAAAAGUAAUUUCGGUAUUAACCCGUCCAUAGUCUUUGGAAAGGUAGAAAUUAUGGAAACCAAUAAACCAGAACUAGUAUUACCAUCGGUGUACAGAAUGGAUAUAACGAAAGACGAAUUGGCCAAUUCGCCAAUAAUCAGAAUGGGACAGUUACACGGGGAGUCUAUAGCGUUUGUGACAAAAGCUUUACGGCAUGUGGCCGACGAACUUCACGGACGUUAUGUACGGUCUGCUUACAAGGAAUUAUUUCAUGUACUGGUGAAUUCAGUAUUAAAAGGAGCAAGCUAAGAGAUCCUCCUCUUUUAUUGAACGUCUUCAGGAACGUUGUUCUCGUAUUUUCGAAUACUGACCAAAGUAAAACAUUAGGUAUUUUGAUAUGUGACUCGAGUUAUAGCUAACCCAUCGUGAUCAAAGGCACACGCCAAAUACUAUCAUUCACUAAACAGAUUCAAUCAGAGCUAUUUUCCUGUAAUUGUGAAUCAGCAUAAUUUAUACAUAGUUGGUUAAAAUCAAUAUGGCGUAUUCCUCUGCAACCCAAAUUUCCUUAUCGGUCUAUAUUUUAGCAUGUUUAUAAAUGGCUGAUAUUGCGCUAUGGUAUAUAUAAUGUUAAUUAUGUGAACUUUAUUAAGAAACGAUAUCUGGUGUUCUAGAAAGAGUACGCAUUAUUUGCCUACCUGGCAGAUACCUUGUAGUUUGUCUCUUGGAUUCUUAUCGUUUUUGUAUGUGUGUAGUGCGGUAUUCCUACACCUAAUUUCAUAGUUUAUUGGUAUUCUGUUGCAUUCUGGACGAGAAAUUAUUUAGGAUAAAUAUGAAUUACUGGUUAAUAUUUUGAUGAUAUAAUAUAAAACAUCCCACAGCUGGAGAAAUUUGCAUUCAUAAAGCUUUAAAAUAACCAUUGGCAAGAUGCCAAACAAAAUUAAAACAAGAUUAUGAAUAGUUAUUACGUUAUAUUUAUCUAAAUUAGGCUGUGCUGAAUAUACAAUAUAUUUCUGAUGUUGUUUGUGCACCAUCACAUCAUCAGUUUGCCAUUUUCAUAAACCUGAAUAACGAGGCAACUUGUCCCCCCCGCCCCCCCCCCCCAAACAAAAUGUUACCCAUUCUGAUUGUACGCUACAUUUUUAAAUGUGUAUACUUUAAAAAUAAUUUUCAUGAAGAUUUCAUGGAUACUAAUAGUCUCUGUUUCUGCUCAAUCCAUGCAUCCAUUCUCAGAAUGGGUAACAUCUAGAUCUAACACAAAUUCUUAAACAGGUUGUUAUAUUAUAUGAACCAGGUUGUUAUUUGAACCAGGUUGUUAUUUGAAAUCGGCUGUAAUAUGUUUAAAACCGGUUGUCUCAUUUAAAAAAGGAUAUUGUAAUUUAAACAGGUUGUUAUGGAUAAACCGGAAGAGUUUGCCCUAUUCCAAACAGUUUGUUAUUUUCCAAAGAGGUUGUUAUUUUCAAACAGGUUGUUAUCUUCGAAACAGGUUGUUAAUUUUAUACCAGGAUGGCAUAUUCAAAACGGGUGGCUAUAUUUAAAUCAUAUUGUUAUAUUGAAAAAUGUUAUUAUAAUUUAAACGGAUUGGAAUAUAUAAAACUAGUGGUCAUAUUUAAGAUUGGUGGUCAUAUAUUCUUAAUUGGCAGUUCUGGGAAUUCGCUAGGUUAUGAUUUUAUAUUAUGGUGGGUGUCCCUUGUAUGGCAGGAUAUGCUUACUCAUCCAUGAACUUCAGUAUCGACUACUAAUGUCUUUAAUGUCCCAUUUAAGAAAUUCACUGAAAAUUUUUCGAUUUUGUCUUUCGUUUGAUUGUCCUUUACGAUUUAUUAUGUACAUUAUCAGUAUAUAUAUUUAUAAUACGUAGUUAUAUCGGGGUUUAAUAUUAAAAACAAUAUAUAUGUGAACAUAUUUGUCAUUAUUAAAACUAAUAUGAGUAGGUUUUUCUUAUGUUAGCGCCAUUUAGUGAAAUGUAAAUGUUUAUGACAAUUUAAAGCAAACUGGCAUCUAAACUCUCGAACCACUGUCAAGCUGAUAAUAUUUACAUUAUAUUUCCGGUGCCUUUUCGUAAAUUAAUCAUAUGCUUUUAGUAGAAUAACAGUUUUCAUUUAUUUAUAAUAUAGAACAUUAUAUUGUAUAGCAUAAUGUAUUUAAUGGCUUGAAAUAAACAAGUUAAUAUUUAA